RNAcentral lists this microRNA precursor (82 nucleotides) under Trichobilharzia regenti. RNAcentral's name for it is "mir-3492 microRNA precursor family". It matches the Rfam family "mir-3492 microRNA precursor family". The record is from Rfam by way of RNAcentral. Lineage: Eukaryota; Metazoa; Platyhelminthes; Trematoda; Strigeidida; Schistosomatidae.
AGCCUUCUUUAUUCAUGCGGAGAUUUCGUCGGCGAUCAAUCCAUUGGUGCUGGCUGAUGCAACUUCGCAAAUAAGUGAAGUG